GAGAGCAAGCUGGAGGGAGUCGUGGGAAUGGGAGGAUCGGGAAAAACCAGAUCUGAUUCCUUCCUUCCGAUUGGAUGGACGGAUUUUCUUUUCCUUUUCCGAUUCCACCCAUUCCUAUCAUUCCCUCCUGUUCCUCUCCUUCCUCUUCUUUCCCUCUCUUCUUCUUCAUUACAGAUCUGAUUCACCAGCUACGUGGUAGAGGCGAAGCCGAAGUGAGAGCGUUUAUUUGGAGGUUUAUUGAGCCAACACCUUUUCACAAAUUUUUGGAUGUUCGUUCUUGUUUAAGUGAGGCUAUGCGGAUAAUGAUUUGGAAAUAUUUGGUGUUUUUAUUAGUAAUUAACACAUCAUGUUGAUUCUAAUCCUAUUUGAACUCCUAA
Prosopis cineraria is the source of this 377-nucleotide long non-coding RNA. RefSeq lists it as uncharacterized. The transcript has 2 exons. The record is from RefSeq and is a predicted model, not a curated record. NCBI's taxonomy places the organism in Eukaryota, Viridiplantae, Streptophyta, Magnoliopsida, Fabales, Fabaceae.